RNAcentral lists this transfer RNA (74 nucleotides) under Solanum lycopersicum (tomato). Its description in RNAcentral is "tRNA-Tyr (GTA) (tRNA-Tyr-GTA-9-1)". It matches the Rfam family "tRNA". Rfam says of the family: Transfer RNA (tRNA) molecules are approximately 80 nucleotides in length. Their secondary structure includes four short double-helical elements and three loops (D, anti-codon, and T loops). The record is from RNAcentral. Lineage: Eukaryota; Viridiplantae; Streptophyta; Magnoliopsida; Solanales; Solanaceae.
CCGACCUUAGCUCAGUUGGUAGAGCGGAGGACUGUAGAUCCUUAGGUCAACUGGUUCGAAUCCGGUAGGUCGGA